UGCCAUGUAGACCCAAGAGGUACCUAACAGA
Molecule: non-coding RNA, 31 nt
Filed under: Rattus norvegicus (Norway rat)
Lineage: Eukaryota; Metazoa; Chordata; Mammalia; Rodentia; Muridae
Source: RNAcentral